UGCUCAGCAAAGAGCCCCAUGGGGAGCUCGGUCUCAGGACCCUGGGAUCACGACCUGAGCUGAAAUCAAGAGUUGGGCACUCAACCAUCUGAGCCACCCAGGCACCUUCAUCUUUCCUUUUAAAGCAACUCUAAGCAUACAGUUGGAUAAGAUGUAUACAUCCCUGUAACCACCACCCCAAUUAAGAUGUACGAUAUUUCCAUCAUUCCAGAGAGUUCUCUCAUGCCACUGUACAGUCAAUCCCCAUGUGCCUGCCCCAGGCUACCAUCUCAUUUCUAUCACUGGAAAUUCCUUUUAUCACUAAUUCCGUUGCCUAGUUUGCAGUUGGGGUAUUGACUAAGUAAGCCUCCUUUCACUGCCUGGCUGACUUGAAAUAUCUGAGUGUUCCCAUGUGGAGGAGAGAGGACCCUUGUUACUGUUUCUGAGACCAAUGGCAGGAAAGAGUGAAUCUGGCUUGUGGAAACCAGAGUUCUUGAAGGCAGGAGCUGUUCCUUAUUUUGUGUUUCUGCAAUACCAGAACAGUACCUGGAACAUAGGAAGCUCUUCGUAAAUGUACUUAGUAAAUGUAUCUGUCCAAUAAUGGAAUGAUUAUCCAUUGGAGAAGCUGUUCUGUUCCUUCCUGGAUAAAAAUGUGCUGGUAGUGGUGGUGCCUAUCACUAAUGAACACAAGUGAGUUUGAGUUUCUGACCUUGAGGGAUAGACACAGGGCAAGAGCUGUGUCCAGUCGUCUUGGCUCGGCCCCAGGGGCACAGUGCAGUGGGAGAGAUGGUGGGUUCUAAUAUGAUGUGGUAGGUGGUAGGUAGGUAGCUGAAUGCUGUGGAAACAGAGGGGAGCGGCAUAGAAUCCGACUGGGAGAUUUGGGGAAGCUUGUCUGGAGGGCACGUGUCAUGAGGGAUGGUGAGAAGUAGCCUGUGGAAAGGGAUUUUGGUGCAGGAACCAGCCUAAGGCAUGGCGACUUGAGAGACCACGGUCAUGUGACAUAAUUGCUCUGAGUGGGAAAAUGGAACAUAUGUGGCCCCUGCAGUUGUUGUCAUCCUAAGAUUCUGUAAGUAGCGGGGUUUAGCUGAAUGGCCACAAGUGCCCCAAAAUACCCACGCACAUUUGAGGUUUGGGUCAGAAAAUGCUCUGAAAAUGGCCAUUUUCUGCAACAAGGUUUUGCAUCCUGGGAACAGAAAUGGAAAUGAACGGAUGGUCAGGGUGAAACGUUGCUGGACCCGCAGACACGGAGAAAGGCAGAGUGGCAAGGGAGUCCCCGGUGUCAGCAAGAGCCAUGGAAAAUGCCAAGUGUUGCACCAUUGAGCACAACUGGCAUUCACACGUGGCUGGCAGGAGUGUUACGUUGGUUCAAUCACUUUGGAGAAAACUGGCAGGAUCAACUAACUAGCGGAAGGUCUAGCCUAUACCCAGGCCGUUCCGCUGAUAUGUUUAUACCCAACAGAAAUAUGCUCACCAACAGGCUUGGCCUGGAGCUCUCCAGAUGCCCGCGAAUACUCGAAUGGAUACCCGUGUGGUGGGUUCUGCCUCCCACAUGUUCACAUCCUGUGAAUGUGUUGCAUUACAUAGCAAAGGGGGAUUAGGCAGCAAAUGGGAUUAACAGGUGAACCAGCUGACGUUAAAGAGAUUAUCCUGGAUUAUCAGGGUGGGCCAAAUGUAUCACAAAUUUCCUUAAAUGAGGAAGAGGGGGACAGAAGGGCCAGAGACGGUGGUAUGAGAAAGACUCCACCAGUCUAUACUGGCUUUGGAGACGGAAGGAGCCAUGAGUCCAGGAAUGCGGGCGGCUGCUGGAAGCCGAGAAGCAAGAAUGAGAAACUAACACGUGGAAUAUUCAUAUGGUGGAAUACUACACAGCAAUGAGGACGGAGGAUUUGCAAUUACACGUAACAAUAUGGCUGAGAACAUGCUGUAUGAUUUAAUUUAUCUCUGAAAGGAAGGAAGCCAACAUCUGAGCACCCACUGCCUCUCAGGAAUUUUAUAUGCCGUAUCACAUUUGAUCAUUACAGUCCGUGAUGUAGGUAUCAUUAAUCUGUUUUAAGAAUGAGGAGGGGCACCUGGGUGGCUCAGUUAGUUGAGUGCCUGGCUUCAGCUCAGGUCAUGAUCUCACCGCUCGUGAGUUCAAGCCCCGCGUC
Felis catus (domestic cat) is the source of this 2126-nucleotide long non-coding RNA. RefSeq lists it as uncharacterized. The transcript is spliced from 3 exons. NCBI's taxonomy places the organism in Eukaryota, Metazoa, Chordata, Mammalia, Carnivora, Felidae. The record is from RefSeq and is a predicted model, not a curated record.